Molecule: ribosomal RNA, 255 nt
Filed under: uncultured bacterium
Lineage: Bacteria
Description: partial 16S ribosomal RNA
Rfam family: Bacterial small subunit ribosomal RNA
Source: RNAcentral
GCAAGUCGAGGGGUAACAGGGAGUAGCUUGCUUUUCCGCUGACGACCGGCGAACGGGUGCGUAACGCGUAUAGAAUCUGCCUUGUACAGGAGGAUAGCCUUUAGAAAUGAAGAUUAAUACUCCAUAAUACUGAGAUGUGGCAUCACAAUUUAGUUAAACAUUUAUGGGUACAAGAUGACUAUGCGUCCUAUUAGCUAGAUGGUAAGGUAACGGCUUACCAUGGCAACGAUAGGUAGGGGUCCUGAGAGGAGUAUC